UGGCGACCUUUACUGAAAUAUUGCUUAUUAAUUAAGCCAUAGCAGACAUUUUCAAAGAUUGAUAUAUCUGUUUAUAUACUGAUGUUCCUAACAAAAGGAAUAGGAUAACAGAGAAGAUAAUAGGAUAACAGGGAAGAUAAAACAUAUUUGGCUUACUAAGGGGAAUAUGUUUAAUAUUUUGGUAACCACACUAUAUCUACCAUAUCCAGUGCCAACAAGGCCUUACACCGAAUACUACGGCUCCUGAGGCUGGCUGGGAUACUGCGUACAUAGUAGUGGUUGUAGGUACAAUAUAAAAAGAGAAUAGAAGACUGAUGCCAGGUGCCUGAGAAUGUACAGAAUAGAUAUCGCUUGAAUCUAGUGAGCUGUUGUGGAAACUUAUAGGGGUGAAUGAUAUUGGAAAAGGUUGAGAAGCACUGGUAGAGUAUAUCAUCUCAAAGUCCAUGUUGGAGGAGGUGGGUUUAAGUGAUAAAAGAUAUAUAAAUAUUGUAAAAAAUGUACAAGGUUGUUUAUAGAUUAUUUGUUAAAACCUAUUUAUUUUAGUAUACAUAUACUCUGAAAGCUGCAGUAUACUGUAACUGAUAAAGAACAUUAUGUCCAAUAAUUAACUGUGUCGCAAAUAACACUAUAUUGUAAGAAAAAUUUUCUGCACUGUUACGUUUAAUGUAUUUAACCUGAUAAAGAGAUCAUAUGCAAGUAAGCUUGCAUUCAGUAAAUAUAUUUUGAGUUACACCAAAGUUUAUUUUGUUUCUUCCCACAUUUAGGUAAAACUGUAUGGCUGUGGCAUUGAAACUUUACUGUAUAAAGGUUUGUUCACCAUAAAAAGAACAAUAAGAUACUGACAAUAUACAAAAAAUCUAAUUCAAAUUUUUAAACUGGACCAAAAAAUAUUUACCUGUGAUAAAAAGUUAUAGCCUAUCUAUACUCACUCUAGUAUUUCAUAGUUAUUGUAAUAAAAGUGACAAAUAUGUUUUACAACAUAAAAAAAGACAAUCAGCAGAUGAAAUUUUUACUUGAAGUACAUAUAUUUCAUAAAAACAUACCAAUUUUACUUUGUGAUUUUUUUAGCAGGUGUGUGUGUGUGUGUCAAUUUAGG
RNAcentral lists this unclassified non-coding RNA (1096 nucleotides) under Limulus polyphemus (Atlantic horseshoe crab). RNAcentral's name for it is "zinc finger protein 366-like, transcript variant X8". Lineage: Eukaryota; Metazoa; Arthropoda; Merostomata; Xiphosura; Limulidae. The record is from RNAcentral.